ACCCCUGUGACAUACCAAUUGUUGCCUCGGCGGAUCAGCCCGCUCCCGGUAAAACGGAACGGCCCGCCAGAGGACCCCUAAACUCUGUUUCUAUAUGUAACUUCUGAGUAAAACCAUAAAUAAAUCAAAACUUUCAACAACGGAUCUCUUGGUUCUGGCAUCGAUGAAGAACGCAGCAAAAUGCGAUAAGUAAUGUGAAUUGCAGAAUUCAGUGAAUCAUCGAAUCUUUGAACGCACAUUGCGCCCGCCAGUAUUCUGGCGGGCAUGCCUGUUCGAGCGUCAUUUCAACCCUCAAGCCCCCGGGUUUGGUGUUGGGGAUCGGCGAGCCUCACGGCAAGCCGGCCCCGAAAUACAGUGGCGGUCUCGCUGCAGCUUCCAUUGCGUAGUAGUAAAACCCUCGCAACUGGUACGCGGCGCGGCCAAGCCGUUAAACCCCCAACUUCUGAAUGUUGACCUCGGAUCAGGUAGGAAUACCCGCUGAACUUAAGC
RNAcentral lists this ribosomal RNA (489 nucleotides) under Fusarium oxysporum f. sp. lycopersici. RNAcentral describes it as "eukaryotic LSU rRNA". The stretch from base 129 to 282 matches the Rfam family "5.8S ribosomal RNA". The record is from RNAcentral. Lineage: Eukaryota; Fungi; Ascomycota; Sordariomycetes; Hypocreales; Nectriaceae.